GUGGCUCAGUGGUAGAGCACUUGCCUAGCAUGUGUGAGGCUCUGGGUUCAAAUCUCAGC
This 59-nucleotide transfer RNA is filed under the name Ictidomys tridecemlineatus (thirteen-lined ground squirrel). RNAcentral describes it as "Spermophilus tridecemlineatus (thirteen-lined ground squirrel) tRNA". It matches the Rfam family "tRNA", at positions 7 to 64 of the family's 71-position model. From Rfam's summary of the family: Transfer RNA (tRNA) molecules are approximately 80 nucleotides in length. Their secondary structure includes four short double-helical elements and three loops (D, anti-codon, and T loops). The record is from Rfam by way of RNAcentral. Lineage: Eukaryota; Metazoa; Chordata; Mammalia; Rodentia; Sciuridae.